AACGAACGCUGGCGGCAUGCCUAACACAUGCAAGUCGAACGAGACCUUCGGGUCUAGUGGCGCACGGGUGCGUAACACGUGGGAAUCUGCCCUUUGCUUCGGAAUAACAGUUAGAAAUGACUGCUAAUACCGGAUGAUGUCGAAAGACCAAAGAUUUAUCGGCAAAGGAUGAGCCCGCGUAGGAUUAGGUAGUUGGUGGGGUAAAGGCCUACCAAGCCGACGAUCCUUAGCUGGUCUGAGAGGAUGAUCAGCCACACUGGGACUGAGACACGGCCCAGACUCCUACGGGAGGCAGCAGUGGGGAAUAUUGGACAAUGGGCGAAAGCCUGAUCCAGCAAUGCCGCGUGAGUGAUGAAGGCCUUAGGGUUGUAAAGCUCUUUCACCAGGGAUGAUAAUGACAGUACCUGGAGAAUAAGCUCCGGCUAACUCCGUG
This 433-nucleotide ribosomal RNA is filed under the name uncultured bacterium. RNAcentral's name for it is "partial 16S ribosomal RNA". It matches the Rfam family "Bacterial small subunit ribosomal RNA", at positions 29 to 507 of the family's 1533-position model. The record is from RNAcentral.